GGGACGAAAGUUCGUCGCAGUCUGCCUACCCUCCAGACUUUCGCCGCCACUUCCCGCAGUUUUCCCCCGCUUGCAUUAACAGAAGCUUCUGCAGAUACGUGGCCACGCGGCGCUCGGCCCACUAGGUAUCAGACGCGCGUCCUAAAACAAGUACCAGGAGGUAGGGGGCCGAAGAGGCGGUAACUUCGACCUCCUUGUGACAGGAACAACGGUCUAACAUUUGCACGGGCAGUCCACCAUCGCAUUCCUUUCCUUAACCCUACUGGCAUUUCGCGGAACGUGAAAGCGGAGCUCCUGAAAACCAACCACUCAUCAUCUUUGAUCGCAUUAUGGUAUGAUCAUGCAGCACAAGCAGCUCUACAUUUAGGUCUAGAGUAGCCAACACCAAGCAGGUCGCGGGUAUGCAACACAGGCACAGAUUAUGCACCAAAUGUUAUAUAUAAGCGACGACUUUAGAUAAGCCGAAGAAUAUCAAUCUAGUUUCGUGUUUGUAAAGUUCCGUAACGCAGAGGGCUGGCACGUUCCAAAUGUUGCCUAGGCUUACAAGGAGAACACUUUUCCUCAUGAGAAAUGACGCAACGUGUUUACCU
This 590-nucleotide long non-coding RNA is filed under the name Volvox carteri. RNAcentral's name for it is "long non-coding RNA (VCAR_LNC002052)". Lineage: Eukaryota; Viridiplantae; Chlorophyta; Chlorophyceae; Chlamydomonadales; Volvocaceae. The record is from RNAcentral.